RNAcentral lists this long non-coding RNA (759 nucleotides) under Homo sapiens (human). RNAcentral's name for it is "HSALNT0102346". The record is from RNAcentral. Lineage: Eukaryota; Metazoa; Chordata; Mammalia; Primates; Hominidae.
GGACUUUGUAUGUCAUACAAUGGAUCCAUGGAGGCAGAAGAAAACGGGAAAAACUCAAAUCCCAUUGAGGUUUUUGAAAUGCAGAAAAUGGACACAUGGCCUAUUUGAAUUAUGGAAUUCCUGUUUGAUAAUGCCCAUUGCUUGUAACUAGUUGGUCAAAAUUAGAUUUCACAGAAACAUUAUGUCUUGAUUACAAUAUUAGAAUUCUACAGCAAGACACACAAUGUGAUUUGAAGUCCACAAACUCCCUGACUGUCAGACUGAAUUUCUGUAAGCCAUACUUAUUUAGCUUUUAGAAAAACAGAAAACUUGGCAGAACUCUUCUGGCCGGGAUGAAGCAGAGUGGGAAUAACCAUAUCAGAUUUAAAUUGGAGAUGGUAGAAUGCUGCCACUUUUUUCAAACUAAUCAAGGUGAAAGGCCAACAUACACCAGUGACUAACAGGAAGGAUUUGGGACAUGGCUUUGGGCUCCUCCAGCGUUCAACAUGGUAUUCUGAUUCCUGCUCUCAAGAUUGGUGAAGAAACAAUAUUUUUAAAAAAGUCGUCGUCAUUUUAUGUUUGCUACUUACUGAACUCAAAACAGUAUGGUUUGCAUUAGCAGGACUUCUACAAAUUGUGUGGAAGGGAUUUAAAACAGUUCUGUAGUCUGUAUGAAAAAUGAGCCUGCGAUUCCUGACUCCUCAGAGUUCCUUGUAGGAGUCCUGGUGUAAAGUGAUCUUUCACAUGCCUGAUUGGAACUGUGAGCCAAGCAACAUCUGC